This 464-nucleotide ribosomal RNA is filed under the name uncultured bacterium. RNAcentral's name for it is "partial 16S ribosomal RNA". It matches the Rfam family "Bacterial small subunit ribosomal RNA", at positions 339 to 795 of the family's 1533-position model. The record is from RNAcentral.
CUACGGGUCGCUGCAGUGGGGAAUAUUGCACAAUGGGCGCAAGCCUGAUGCAGCCAUGCCGCGUGUAUGAAGAAGGCCUUCGGGUUGUAAAGUACUUUCAGCGGGGAGGAAGGGAGAAAAGUUAAUACCUUUGCUCAUUGACGUUACCCGCAGAAGAAGCACCGGCUAACUCCGUGCCAGCAGCCGCGGUAAUACGGAGGGUGCAAGCGUUAAUCGGAAUUACUGGGCGUAAAGCGCACGCAGGCGGUUUGUUAAGUCAGAUGUGAAAUCCCCGGGCUCAACCUGGGAACUGCAUCUGAUACUGGCAAGCUAGAGUCUCGUAGAGGGGGGUAGAAUUCCAGGUGUAGCGGCGAAAUGCGUAGAGAUCUGGAGGAAUACCGGUGGCGAAGGCGGCCCCCUGGACGAAGACUGACGCUCAGGUGCGGAAGCGUGGGGAGCAAACAGGAUUAGAUACCCUAGUAGUC